This 245-nucleotide ribosomal RNA is filed under the name uncultured bacterium. Its description in RNAcentral is "partial 16S ribosomal RNA". It matches the Rfam family "Bacterial small subunit ribosomal RNA", at positions 524 to 768 of the family's 1533-position model. The record is from RNAcentral.
GACGAAGGUGGCGAGCGUUGUUCGGAAUCAUUGGGCUUAAAGCGCACGUAGGCGGCCUGACAAGUGUCUUGUGAGAUCCCUCGGCUCAACCGAGGAAUUGCUGGGCAUACUGUCAGGCUUGAGGCAGGUAAGGGCGAGUGGAACUCUUGGUGGAGCGGUGGAAUGCGUAGAUAUCAAGAGGAACGCCGGUGGUGAAGACGAUUCGCUGGGCCUGUCCUGACGCUGAGGUGCGAAAGCCAGGGGAG